Molecule: non-coding RNA, 598 nt
Organism: Paramuricea clavata
Lineage: Eukaryota; Metazoa; Cnidaria; Anthozoa; Malacalcyonacea; Plexauridae
Source: the annotation of a GenBank genome assembly
GGCCAUGUGUGCGCCGAACAUACCAUGCACGCAUGGAUGAGGGGGGGGGGGGGUACUCCCCAGAAAAUUUUUGAAAUUUGAAGCACAGAAAUGCCAUUUCCUGCAUUCUGAGCAUCCAAAUGCGCUCCAAAAUGUAUACUAAAUAUACUUGUAUUUGAAAUAAAAGAAGGAAAAAACCCACAAAAAGUAAAAAAAUAUUAACCAUAAUUUAUCAUUACUUAUUAGAGGAGGAUCCCAAUGGUCACGUGUGUGGGGGUGUACUCCCCAGAAAAUUUUUGAAAUUUGAAACACGGAAAUGCCAUUUCCUGCAUUCUGAGCAUCCAAAUUUGCUCUAAAAUUAUGCUAACUAUACUUGUAUUUGAAAUAAAAGAAGGAAAAAAUGCACAAAAAGUAAAAAAGAAUAUUAACCGUAUACGUAAUUUACCAUUAUACUUAUUAGAGGGGGAUACCAAUGGCCGAAGGCCACGUGUGUGGGGGGCAUAAUCUCCAGAAAAUUUUUCAAAUUUGAAACUUGGAAAUGCUCUUUCCUGCAUUCUGAGCAACCAAAAAAUAAAAAAUUAUUAACAAUAAUUUAUCAUUACUUAGUGGUAGAAAAACG